RNAcentral lists this ribosomal RNA (497 nucleotides) under uncultured bacterium. RNAcentral's name for it is "partial 16S ribosomal RNA". It matches the Rfam family "Bacterial small subunit ribosomal RNA", at positions 28 to 507 of the family's 1533-position model. The record is from RNAcentral.
GAUGAACGCUGGCGGCGUGCCUAAUACAUGCAAGUCGAGCGAACGGACGAGCAGCUUGCUUUUCUGAUGUUAGCGGCGGACGGGUGAGUAACACGUGGAUAACCUACCUAUAAGACUGGGCUAACUUCGGGAAACCGGAGAUAAUACCGGAUAAUAUUUUGAACCGCAUGGUUCAAAAGUGAAAGACGGUCUUGCUGUCACUUAUAGAUGGAUCCGCGCUGCAUUAGCUAGUUGGUAAGGUAACGGCUUACCAAGGCAACGAUGCAUAGCCGACCUGAGAGGGUGAGCGGCCACACUGGAACUGAGACACGGUCCAGACUCCUACGGGAGGCAGCAGUAGGGAAUCUUCCGCAAUGGGCGAAAGCCUGACGGAGCAACGCCGCGUGAGUGAUGAAGGUCUUCGGAUCGUAAAACUCUGUUAUUAGGGAAGAACAUAUGUGUAAGUAACUGUGCACAUCGUGACGGUACCUAAUCAGAAAGCCACGGCUAACUACGUG